GAUGGGGGAGGACAAUGGAGGGCGUGCGGAUGGACACUUGGGGUGCAGGUGGAGCGGACGGGAUGUGCUAUGGGUUAGAUUGGGGGUGAAGGGAAAGAGGACUUCAGGAGGAUGCAGGGCUUAGGCUUGGACAACUGGGUGGGGUAUGGUGACACUUGGUGAGAUGGGGACAAUGAAAAGAAAAGAAGGUUUGGGAGCUGGGGAGGAAUGAAGAGUUUCCGUUCCGUUUUGGCUGGCUUCAGUCAGAGAGGUUUCUAUGGCCUCUCAGUGGAAGUAACAGGAAGGCAGGAGGAGCUUGGAAUCGGAGCUCAGUGGGUGAGGUGACUGUGAUGCAGCCGUUCAAAACCGUGCGGCAAAAGACUCUUCAGUGAUAUGGGGGAAAGUUCAUCAGGUGGAAAAGGCAAGUUACAAAUGGUCAGUAGUUGGCAGUUGUAAGCACACAAAUAAUAAGAGGCCUGAGGCUGGAGGAGACCCCCUGGGGAGAGUAUGUAGAUCAAGAGAAGGGAUCUCAGGAUGGAGCCCAAGCACCCCGACAUUCAGAGAUUGGGAAGGUGAAGAGGACCCGCUAAGGAGACAGAGGGGCAGCCCGUGAGAUCGCAGGAGAGCAGGAGAGCAGAGUGUUUCUAGGAGGAAGGAGUGGACACCUGGGUCAUGUGCUACUAGGAGGUGGGGGACAAGACACAGAGAGAGAAUCGUCUGUGUAAUUGUGCACGUGAGGUCAUGGGUGGUCCUGAUGGAGUCAGAGCCCCCUGGAGCAGUGGGGGCUGGAGUUGUUGGAGAGGGUUGAAGAGCAAAAGGGGGCGAGGGGGUAGAGACAGUGAGUGUAGAUGGUGGGUGCAAGAGUCUCUGCUGGGAAUGGGAUUGUGGGGUCAGGGGGUGAGAUAUGGAAACUUGUUCAAAUGUGUUUAUGAUGGAAGACAUUGCAGCAUGUAUACUAGCGGGAAUAAGCUACUGCUGAGACAGGAGACAUCCUGGAAGAGUGGACUUUGGGAAGGUGCCAGAGAAUGGGGUCCAGAGUGUAGAUGGAAGGGCUGACCUCAUUGGGAGAGAAGCGGCCCAAGCCAGCUGAGGCUCCUGGGCGCACAGCCUCUAGCCUGCCUCCCUGGGGAGACUCUGUUGUGCUCUCCACUUCCAUCUCACCCUCCCCACCCAGGCAGAGGAAGGAAAGGGGCCUGGCAGCAGGAGCAGGCUGGGGGAGGGGUGAUUUGAGGGCAUAUGGUCAAUUCUUGGGGCCAGUGUGGUGUCAGAGGCUUGAGUUUUCAGGAGAGAAGGCUGGGCCUUAGGUGCUCCUGGAAACCACCCCGUCCAGGCACUGGGAAGACGGGUUGGGAUCUCAGACUGACCCCAUUUGCCUAGCUCACCCUGAGUCCCUCAGUCUCCUAAACCCCCAAACCCAAAGCCAGUGCUCAGGCUUAUUUCUCCUAUCUCUUCCUCAUUGUCCCUGGCAGCAGGAUAUCAUACUAGAUGCUCUCAGCACCCCUCCCCCUACUUCUGUGCCCUUGGUUCUGCCUCUCUCCAGCCUUGGAUCCAGUGGGUAACUCCCACACUUGCCACCUCCUCCCUCCCCUCCAUUCUGCAUGACACCCCUCAUCCAAGGAGGUAGGUGGUCCCAGGGGCCUGGAUUCAGCCAGCCCCGCUUGCCCAGACAGCCCUGGAGGAGAGACCCUCAGGGAAGUCUGGAAAUCCUUUGCCAGAGGCCUGGACCUUGGACUGUGAUUCAGAGCAGGCUUUCAGGAAAGCCGGGCUGGAGAGGAGCUGUUGGCCAGGCUGGGGAGGGCUGCUUAGGAAGGGGCAGCCUCUGGGAAGGGUAUGCCCUCUGUGAUCUCAAGGGAGGGGCCUGACCUGGGCCCAGCUCAUGGCUGUCCCAUCACCAUGAGGGAUGAUGCCCUGGGCCGCUCUCCCUGGGGCUGGCCUGGCCGACUGCCGCGGGGAUGCAGGGGAGGGGCCUGAACCAGCGCCUCCAUCCUGCACUUCUGCUCCUGCCCCCACUUCAAUCCACUGCCCAAGAUGACCACAAUGCAUCCAUUCAAACCGCAUGUAAAAGACUAGUCAAGGAUGUGGGGGAAAGUUCAUGAUGCAGCAUUAACUGGGAAAGGCAGGCCACAAGAUGGUAAAUACCGUACCACAGUCCCCACUUUACAGAUGAAGAUACUGAGGGUCAGGGAAGCAGAGUGACAACCCUGUUAAGAAGCUCAGGAGCUGACAUCACAGUCGAGGGCCCUGUGACCCCACUCUGCCUCCAUAGGACUGCAGUUAAGGUGGGGGUAGGAGGAAUCCCACAAAGACCAGAAAAGUCCUCCUCUCCCAGAGGACCCCACCCUUCGCCCCAGCAUCUCUGGCCCAGCUGUAAGAUCUUCUGGUCAUAAACCUGUUCUCAAACAGCCAUCUCUUGGUUGGCCUUUUCACUUUCUGUUUUCCUUUUAGAAAAGUUCUUGUGCAAAUUCCGUUCUUGUGGGUCAGAGAUUUGGUCCAGGCCUGGGUGAGAGAGAGAAGGAGGGGCCCUGAGGCAGAGUGAGCAGAGGAGGGGCUGGGCCAGACCCCAGGGCGAGUCAGCUGCCCCUGCGAGGCUGGUGCUGGUAUUUAAGGGUCUGUUCCUCUCCUCAGCCUCCAUUUGGCACGGGGGUGCCAAGAGGGCAGACCUCCCUCCACGGCCCUCUUCUUGCAGAUGAAAGAGACGCCUGCUCCUGCAGGCCCCCCUCCUCCGUGCUGCAGCUGGCCUCGUCUUUCGUCUUCCGAUGGCCCAUUCUUGGCGAUAAUCUGGAGCUUCUAAACUGGGGGCCCCCAUCCUUUCCUUGCCAGUGACCCCUUAAAAAUCAAUUUCUAUACAAAUAUCCAAUCAUUGUGUUGUAUACCUCAAACUAAUAUAAAGUUAUAUGUCAAUUAUCCCUCAAUAAAAACAAUUGAUUUAAAAAUUACAAAAAUUAUGGUAAAUACUAUAAGAGCAGAGAAGGGCCUAUAAAAAUCAAAAGCAUUCUGUGUGCCCUUUCCCCUUGCCCCAUGCUGUUCCCCAGGGAACCACUCCUAAUGAUUUCUUGUUUAUUCCUUUAUAAACAAGCAUAUAUAGCUACAAGCCCCUAUGUGCGUUUUCUUUUUUUUAAAAUACAAAUGAGACCAUACUAUAACCAUGUUAUCUUACAGCUUGCUUUUUUUUUCAUUUAAUGUCAUAUCUUGGACAUUUUUUUCUUGUCGAUAUCUGUAGAUCUACCCAUUCUUUGUAAUGACUGCCAAGUCCAUUGUAAAGGUUUGAAUGACCAGUUCCUUUUGAGAAGGAUAUUUAUAGACUGCUUCCAAUUUUUGCCAUUACAAACAGUGCUGAGAUGAGCAACUAUAUUUGUAGGCUAAUUGCCAGCUGACUAAAAUUUGAAGAUAUGUUCCCAUAUUGCCUUCCAAAAACACUAACAAUAUAAAGUUCCCCCAAUAAUGUAUGAGAAUGCCCAUUUCCUUAUAUGCACACCAAUACUGGGAUUAUCAAACUUUUAAAUCUCUGCUGAUUUGAUAGGUGAAAAAUGAUAUCACUUUAAGAGUGAGGCUGAGCAUACUUUUCUUUAUUUAUUAGCUGUUUGAAUUUCUUUCCUUUCUUUUUUUGUGAAUCCUAUGUUAUUGGCCUUUGAUUAUUUUGGGGGAGGGUUAUUCAUCUUUUUCUCAUUGAUUUGUAGGAGCUCUUUGUAUAUUAAGGAAAUAAACAUCUACGAUCCAUAUUAUUAUUUUCUUCCCAACAAACUCCAUGUUUGGAAAAAAUUUAUUAAACAGCUGUUGCUAAGUUAUUA
Molecule: non-coding RNA, 3767 nt
Organism: Equus caballus (horse)
Lineage: Eukaryota; Metazoa; Chordata; Mammalia; Perissodactyla; Equidae
Source: RefSeq, a predicted model, not a curated record